AUCACUGGCCAAGUCUUUCUCUCAGUUAGAGAGCGCCAAGCAAACCUUCAACUUUGAAGAGUACAACUUCUCCCAGUCCACCUUAGAGCAGGUGUUUAUGGAGUUUGCCAAGGAGCAGGAGAACGAGGAGGACGAGGUGGGCUCCCUCAGCACAACUUUCCAGUGGCAGCGGCUGCGCCAGGACGGCUCCGUCUCGGUCAACCACACAGACAGCAUCGUGCACCAGCUCUGAACUCCACCCAAGAGGGAGCUGCCCGGUAACUGACCAGAAAC
Long non-coding RNA from Pelmatolapia mariae (spotted tilapia), 273 nucleotides. RefSeq lists it as uncharacterized. The record is from RefSeq and is a predicted model, not a curated record. The transcript is spliced from 3 exons. Lineage: Eukaryota; Metazoa; Chordata; Actinopteri; Cichliformes; Cichlidae.